ACGGCCAUACCACCCUGAACUCGCCCGAUCUCGUCUGAUCUCAGAAGCUAAGCAGGGUCGGGCCUGGUUAGUACUUUGAUGGGAGAAAUACGAAGUUAAAAGGGAGAUAACAGGGAAGUUAAAAGUG
Molecule: ribosomal RNA, 127 nt
Filed under: Neogale vison (American mink)
Lineage: Eukaryota; Metazoa; Chordata; Mammalia; Carnivora; Mustelidae
Source: RNAcentral